CGGAGUUGCGCGCUUCUCCGCGCGCUCCGGCCGAGCCGGUGCUCGGGGACCCCGCGCAGCCCUGCCCGUGUCGUGUGAGCCUGUGGCAGCUGCUGCGGCGGCAGAGCUGCCCUCCGGGAACCCCCUGCUCGCCUGAGCAUUUAUCUGAAGUCAUCAUCACAGAAUCUGAACAUCUCAGUCUAUUAAAGGUGUCCUCCAGGGCCAAGAUCCUGCACUUGGGCUGCACCUCCAGAAUCCUCAGCUCCACUGAAGAAGUCCAGUAGUCCAUGUCCAGGAUAAUCCCCUGCACGAGUGUUGUAAUGAGGGAGGACAGACCUAGUGUGCAAAAAGCUGUAUGUGAGGGGGUUGCUGCCUAUUCAGAGACACACAGCGAACAGAAAGGAUAAAUCAGCACCUGAAAGCCUGGACAAAACACCUGAACUGCAGUGGGCAGGGUAAUCUACUGCUGAGCUGCAGUGUUGGCAGCUGGCUCUGUCUUUCACCCAUUGAUUUGAUCACCCGGCUGAGGAGACUGAGUCUCUAAUAUUGACUGUGAAGCCUGGCUGGGCAGCACACAUCUUUCCCGUUGAAAAUCCAAAGGGCUGCUUGCAAAAGCUUUGUCCUGCAGCCCAAUCAAUUCCUGCCAGUGUAAGAUUUAAGAACGUUGUUUCUCUUGCUGACUGUGCUCACUAGAAGCCAAAGACCCGGGUGGGUAAGAAGCCCAAAGGCUUUAUCACUGGUGGUCUGUCACACAUGGUGACUUCUUCCAUUAACAGGUUUUUUGCUUUUCCCUGGUAUUUAGUCUCUGGUGCUACAGCAAAGAUACCAUAGUGGUGUCCACCUAUUGCAGAGUCAAAUCUUAAUACAUUUUCUACUCAAGACAGGGAGUAGCAGAAUCACUUGUAGGAGACUGUGUUUAUUUAAGUGCCAAAUAUGGAUCUCAGCAAUUCAUUCUAAGUGAAUCAGUAUUCAUAUCACUUGGUAAUGAUUUCUCAUUUAACUUUCGUACAUGAAGUGUGUAUUAUGCAGCACUUACAUUCCAUCUAUUAUUUCAGUCACUUUUAUAAUGUUAUGUUUUGGGUUUUUUUUUUUUGCAACUCAGGAGACAGGUUAACAAAUAAAGCUGCUUACACUUAAGGUUGGGGCAAGCUGUCCGAUUUCUUGUGUUGUGUCACCCAAACAUGCCUUCACUGAUACAUAAGGUUGUCAUCUAACAGCUGACACUUAGCUGCAGUUCCUGCUUGCGUCCACUUAAUAUUUUUAUCUCAUUCAUAGUUAUAAUUAUUAUGACAAGUACAAGUUGUUCUGCAGGGACAGCACUGUUUUUUUAGUGGUGGCAUUUAUUUAGAUAGAUUGCGGCAGUAGCUCUGUCAUGUCCAUAGCACUGGAAAUCAAAGUCAUUGAUAACCAUAUUCACUUCAGCAAAAUAAUGUUAUAACAAAAUAAAAUAGUAUGUAAGGUACUAAGCACUUAAAGGCACCAAUCCAGACAACUUUUUUGAAGAAUCUAUUUCUGCAGGCAAAAGCCCCCCAGAAAUUAAUAUGACUACCAGGGAAUUGGAUGCAAGUGUUUGAAAACUUGAAAAAUGUAUACACCUGUUAGAGCCAAAGCAAAUGCUUUCAGGACUUGUGUUAUUGUGGGAUUUGUGUUUUGUGAGUUUUUUGUUUGUUUUUUUUCUAAGGUGGAUGUACACUGUUUAGCCAUAAACUUUGUGAAUAAAUAAAAUCAUAAUAAAAAGUAGAGCUUUUUACUAGGAAUCCAUCACUGGACUAUUUUUAGGUCCUAGUCCCUUCUAAUUUUACUGCAUUUGCUUGCUUCUUUAUUAACAAGUAGAAAUAAGCAAAACCAUAGAAAGAGUGCUACUACUUUUCAGGCAAAAUCUAUUCUCAAUAUAUUAUCAUCUCCCGGUUUUACAAAAAUAUAGAUGUCAAAACCUCAA
Long non-coding RNA from Motacilla alba alba, 1918 nucleotides. RefSeq lists it as uncharacterized. The record is from RefSeq and is a predicted model, not a curated record. The transcript has 3 exons. Lineage: Eukaryota; Metazoa; Chordata; Aves; Passeriformes; Motacillidae.